RNAcentral lists this ribosomal RNA (441 nucleotides) under uncultured bacterium. RNAcentral describes it as "bacterial SSU rRNA". It matches the Rfam family "Bacterial small subunit ribosomal RNA", at positions 28 to 505 of the family's 1533-position model. The record is from RNAcentral.
GAUGAACGCUAGCGAGACGCCUAACACAUGCAAGUCGAAUGUCUUUAUGACAUGGCAAACGGGUGCGUAACACGUGCUUAACCUGCCCUUUGGUGGGGGAUACCUGUGGAAACACAACUAAUCCCCCAUAAGUUCUUCAAAAUGAGAAUAUGAAGAAGAAAGGUUUACCGCCAAAGGAGGGGAGCGCGGUCUAUUAGCUAGUUGGUGAGGUAAUGGCUCACCAAGGCAAUGAUGGAUAGCUGGUCUGAGAGGAUGAUCAGCCACAAUGGAACUGAGACACGGUCCAUACCCCUACGGGGGGCAGCAGUGGGGAAUAUUGCACAAUGGACGAAAGUCUGAUGCAGCGAUCUCGCGUGGAGGAUGAAGCAUUACGGUGUGUAAACUCCUUUUCUGGAGGAAGACGACUGACGGUACUCCAGGAAUAAGGGACGGCUAACUACG